AGUGAACGCUGGCGGCAUGCCUAACACAUGCAAGUCGAGCGGCAGCACAGGAAGAGCUUGCCCUUACGGUUGGCGGGGGACGGACGGGUGAGAAAUACAUCAGAUUCUACUUUGUCUUGGGGGACUACGUAGAGCCAGUGACGCUAAUGGCGCAUAUUUUCAACCGGUUGAAUCAAAAGUGCUUGGGACUCUUCGCGUCUCAAUUAGACGAUGUCGGAUUAGCUAGUUGGCUGGGUAAAGGCCCACCAAGGCAACGAUGCGUAGCUGGUCUGAGAGGAUGAUCGGCCACACUGGAACUGAGACACGGUCCAGACUCCUACGGGAGGCAGCAGUAGGGAAUCUUCCACAAUGGGCGCAAGCCUGAUCCAGCAAUGCCGCGUGAGUGAAGAAGGUCUUCGGGUCGUAAAGCCCUUUUGUUAGGGAAGAAAAGAUGUAUAUGUAACCGUCGAUGUCCUGACGGUACCCAAAGAGAAAGCACCGGCUAACUACGUG
RNAcentral lists this ribosomal RNA (492 nucleotides) under uncultured bacterium. Its description in RNAcentral is "partial 16S ribosomal RNA". It matches the Rfam family "Bacterial small subunit ribosomal RNA", at positions 29 to 507 of the family's 1533-position model. The record is from RNAcentral.